This is a non-coding RNA of Myodes glareolus (Bank vole), 368 nucleotides long. Lineage: Eukaryota; Metazoa; Chordata; Mammalia; Rodentia; Cricetidae. The record is from RefSeq and is a predicted model, not a curated record.
UCUGUGUGCUCCAUGGAGGACAUGUGUCGCAGCCCAAAGCCCUCAGGCCAGCUCCCACACACCUCCAGCAGGGUCACGCUCCGGUCGAAGGUACCUGGGACACACGCGGGAUUUAGAUUCAUCCAGGGUUGAAGGUUGUUGAAAACCCCCUAGGGAAAGAGUCUAGCCAGCAGAGAUAAAGGCCACACACCAAAUGCAGAAUCUGGAAUAAACCCCUCCAGGUUGAUUCCCAAAAUAACUCCAUUUGUAUGCUGCACAACAAUGUUUUGGUCUACAAAGAAGAUGGCAGUCCAAGAGUUAAUGGAACUGUAUCGUUCACCACCAAGUGACAUCACAACCAUCCUCUCAGGGCAAUGCACCACAUACAG